Molecule: ribosomal RNA, 496 nt
Filed under: uncultured bacterium
Lineage: Bacteria
Description: partial 16S ribosomal RNA
Rfam family: Bacterial small subunit ribosomal RNA
Source: RNAcentral
GACGAACGCUGGCGGCGUGCCUAAUACAUGCAUGUUGAGCGCUGAAGGUUGGUACUUGUACCAACUGGAUGAGCAGCGAACGGGUGAGUAACGCGUGGGGAAUCUGCCUUUGAGCGGGGGACAAAUUUGGAAAACAAAGCCUAAACCGCAUUAAAACCUUUAAACACAGUUUUUAGGUUUAAAAAAGCCAAUUCAUUCACUCAAGAAGAAUCCGCGUUGUAUUAGCUAGUUGGUGAGGUAAAGGCUCACCAAGGCGAUGAUACAUAGCCGACCUGAGAGGGUGAUCGGCCACAUUGGGACUGAGACACGGCCCAAACUCCUACGGGAGGCAGCAGUAGGGAAUCUUCGGCAAUAGACGAAAGUCUGACCGAGCAACGCCGCGUGAGUGAAGAAGGUUUUCGGAUCGUAAAACUCUGUUGGUAGAGAAGAACGUUGGUGAGAGUGGAAAGCUCAUCAAGUGACGGUAACUACCCAGAAAGGGACGGCUAACUACGUG